Molecule: ribosomal RNA, 439 nt
Filed under: uncultured bacterium
Lineage: Bacteria
Description: partial 16S ribosomal RNA
Rfam family: Bacterial small subunit ribosomal RNA
Source: RNAcentral
CGGGCUGCUGCUCCAGUGAGGAAUACUGCACAAUGGGGGGAACCCUGAUGCAGCAACGCCGCGUGGAGGAUGACGCAUUUCGGUGUGUAAACUCCUUUUAUAUGUCAAGAAAAUGACGGUAGCAUAUGAAUAAGCACCGGCUAACUCCGUGCCAGCAGCCGCGGUAAUACGGAGGGUGCAAGCGUUACUCGGAAUCACUGGGCGUAAAGGACGCGUAGGCGGGUUGGAAAGUCAGGUGCGAAAUCCUACAGCUUAACUGUAGAACUGCACUUGAAACUUCUAAUCUAGAGUAUGGGAGGGGGAGAUGGAAUUAGUGGUGUAGGGGUAAAAUCCGUAGAUAUCACUAGGAAUACCUAAAGCGAAGGCGAUCUCCUGGAACAUUACUGACGCUAAGGCGUGAAAGCGUGGGGAGCAAACAGGAUUAGAUACCCGAGUAGUC